Rosa rugosa (rugosa rose) is the source of this 1152-nucleotide long non-coding RNA. RefSeq lists it as uncharacterized. Lineage: Eukaryota; Viridiplantae; Streptophyta; Magnoliopsida; Rosales; Rosaceae. The record is from RefSeq and is a predicted model, not a curated record. The transcript is spliced from 3 exons.
AUUUUGAUAUAGGCACCCAUGUCGCCAAGUGAACUCCGGGUCGCAUUUUGGAGUGUUCAUAUUGAAACCAGUGACACCCAAGAAGUUUUUCUCUUUUCUUUUCAAGCACCCGUGAGAAGCUUAUUGGAGACCCAAAUUUGAUAAGGGCACCCAGCUGCUAUUUUUGCUCGUCCACUUUUUCUUUUCUUCUUAUUUUUCCUUUUCUCCUCGGCCAUUCUGCUUCUCCCUUUUCACUGCCUCGCACUGCAGUAUCAGAACACUGCGAGCUUGGCGCUAAGCUUUUACCAAGUGAAAUUGGAUAUGGAUUUGAAGAGGUAACUUGAUCUGGAGAUGGAAGCACACAUGGGUCUUCAACUAGAAAGAAUUUCUCAACUCUUGAAGCUCGAACUUUGCUGUAUUGCUUCUUCCUGUGAGAAAUUGGGUAAAUACCUUCUCCUCCUGAUUCUACACUUCAACUAAUCGUGGAUGCAUACUGGGUAAUAACUCCUUCUUGUUGUGCUUCUUUGAUUUGGAGAGAAAUUGAUUUUGCUUGUUUUCACUUUCCAUCUUUCUUCAAAAUUUCGGGGCAUUUCUUUUGGUGUCUGCAUAUUCUUCCACUUACUUUGCUGGGAUUGCAUUUUGUGAUUCUCUCCUGAACACUUGGUGAGCUGGGAUUGCAUUUCGUGCUUCUCUCCUGAAUGCCUGGCAUAUCCACGUACUUGAACGUGGCUUCCCAAAAAACGCAAGUGCAAGCGAGGGCUUUGACAGCGAACGCCAUUUCACCACUGGAAUUUGGUGGACAAAGUGAGUCCAGAUUUCUCACAUAGAAGUGAGAGGCUUCUGCUUCACAACUUGGUCUCAGGUUUCUGAUUUCUUUCCUCCUUGCUUGCAGGUUGUUGGAACUACUCCAAGUGAACAUCAAGGGUGAGCUUUCCUCUCCAGACACCAAUUUUGAUGAUUUGUGGUUUGUCUCGCUUGGUCAAUUCCUUGUGUGGCUUGUUUGCAAGUGGUGCAAGGCCAUUUGCAGGGCCGGUCCUAAGUCUUUCAAGACCCCGGGCGAGAAUUAUCUCGGGGCCGCUAAUUUUAAUAUCCGUCUUGUAAAUAGUCUUUGGUUCACAAGGCUUGUCAGAGAUCGAGUGCAAUAAGAUCUAUAUAAAUUCAUGAUUCAAAAUU